RNAcentral lists this transfer RNA (73 nucleotides) under Ictidomys tridecemlineatus (thirteen-lined ground squirrel). RNAcentral describes it as "Spermophilus tridecemlineatus (thirteen-lined ground squirrel) tRNA". It matches the Rfam family "tRNA". Rfam says of the family: Transfer RNA (tRNA) molecules are approximately 80 nucleotides in length. Their secondary structure includes four short double-helical elements and three loops (D, anti-codon, and T loops). Lineage: Eukaryota; Metazoa; Chordata; Mammalia; Rodentia; Sciuridae. The record is from Rfam by way of RNAcentral.
GGGGAUGUAACUUAGUUGGUAGAAUGCUUGCCUCACAUGCACAAGGCCCUGGGUUCAAUUCCCAGAACCACCA